Molecule: long non-coding RNA, 110 nt
Organism: Drosophila subobscura
Lineage: Eukaryota; Metazoa; Arthropoda; Insecta; Diptera; Drosophilidae
Exons: 2
Source: RefSeq, a predicted model, not a curated record
GCUUAGUUGCAGCUUCGACGUCAAUCAGUUCGAAUCGACGACGACACCCAACUGAUUCGAAGUUUUGCCAAUACGCGUAUUUUCUCGUCGCGAAUAUCGAAAAUACAUAA